Paramormyrops kingsleyae is the source of this 5119-nucleotide non-coding RNA. The record is from RefSeq and is a predicted model, not a curated record. Lineage: Eukaryota; Metazoa; Chordata; Actinopteri; Osteoglossiformes; Mormyridae.
GGAGCAGUUUGGGCAAGCUACAGCUUAACUGUGCAAUCUCGUGGGCCUGCAAUCACUCAAGCAGCCCUAACUCCCCAGCCAGGAGGAUGAUAAGAUGGAAAAACAGCGUCGCAAACGUCAUGUUCGCAGAUGGCUGGACUUGUUUUAAUAUGCAACACACGAGUGACCGUCUGCAGAAGUGAGGGACUAUAGCCGAAAAUAAUAAUCAAAGUCAUGACACACAAUUCAGUGCCUUCCACUGUGUGUUAACACCCAGGACCCGUUACCUGUGAUGUACGUGUAUAUGUACAUGUGUGGCACUUUGCAUACCAGCUUCAGAUGAGUGUUUAUUUUAGCCACUUUUCCAGUGGGGGUACACCAGGAACAAGUCCAUCACAGGGCUUCCACUUCAGGCAAUUCACAGACACCAUUCCAGUUAAACCUCAUGUCUUUGGACUGAGGGUGGAAACCCACGUAAAGACAAGGAGGACAUGCAAGUUCCCUAAACAGAGAGUCACAGUGGGAAUCGAACCCACAACACCCAAGGCAUGAAGCCAAGCCCACAAUGAUACAAGGUUGAUUUCAUGUUGCGGAUAGCAGAGAGCUACCUUAUUCUGAUGGGGGACAUCCGCUGUGGUGGAUCCACUGAAAACGCGUGACGUCGCCACUGGCUGGGAAUGAAGACCGGGUCAGCGCCACAAUUGGCACUAAAGCACCAGGUUCCUGUUAACCAGGCCAGCUGCUCCAAUAGCUGACAGUCUGAGGUGUCUCGAGUUCUGCUGAGGCUGACUGAGCAGAGUCGCACGGGGGGGGCGGCGCUCGACGCAGCUGGAUCAGGCCCGAGAGGCAGGCAGCCGGGGGAUUGGGAUUGGCGCUUGGGGGGGCGACAUGUGUGUUCAGUUGACAGUGAUGGUUUUAGCAGACACUGGGAGGUACAGUAUGGAGAGUGAAUAGAAGUCUGGAAAAAGUGUAAGGGGAGGAACCACACAGUUUACAAAUGUGAGGAGUUCUUUUUAUUUACCAUGAGGGGAGACCUCCAAAAAAGGCAGAGAAGUUCCCACAACAACUAUCAAUUUUCCAGUGAUAAGCAGAAAGACCUCUAUCCCUGCUUGUAAUCCUGCUCUCACUGACCAGUGGGGUAUUCUAUGAAAGUAGCUAAAGAAAGUCAGACUUUCCCUUUAUCCUGCUUCGUGGAACACCCCCCGGGCCAGUGAAUAUGACCUGUCCCUCACUGCAGCUUGCCAGUGUAGCUUUGUCACACUGUUUUUCUUUCUUACACAGCAAUAAUGUAUCUUCUUGUAACUGUAUUUGUAUAUUGUACAAUAUGUUGACAGUACAGAAUCAUGUCCUCACGCAGGCCCGUACCAAACAGUAAUUUGUGUUUAUAUACUCCACAUGUGCCAAAAUAGGACAGUUUAUAAUGAAGAAUUCUUCAAAGAUACUUCCCUGCUAUUGGUAUUCUGUAUGAAACUUCUUUGGGAAGUAUAUUUCAGAUCUCCAAACACUUGCUGAAUUAGGAUAGUGUAUAAAAAGCAGGGAAAAUAUUAUGCUUUUUUAUAAACAAGGAUUCUGGCACAAGCAUUCUGAUCUCAUUUAAACCCUGAAUUCUGAACCCUCUGAUGUCAUGUUGGGACUAUCUGCAAAAGAAAGUUUAUGUACACCUACUUCAGGCAGAAUUGGCAGCCUUUGUCUCUCUGAGGACAUGCGGACAUCAGACUUGUCAGUAUAAUUAAAGGGUGGUUCCCUGUGAUGUAAUCAUAGAAGUAUGUAUCUGAGGGUAAAAGACAGGCGAAGACAAACAGAAUGCACCAAAUUAACAAAAAAUGUUCGAUCAGAAAAAGCAUUUGUGAAUGUCAUACAUUUAGAAGGUCAACAAUCUUUCAUUUGACACAAACCCUUUAAACACCGGCCCUAGAGCAGCACCGUAUUCCCCAUGUGUUUUAUCACAUUCUUUUACAGUUCAGAAUUCCUCUGUGUAUGUGCUGCCAUCUGCUGUUUAGAGUGCAAAAUAUAUUUCAUUACAAUGCGCCAAAGAAUGGCUAUCCACGAUAACCGUGCUAGAUAUGUGUCAUUAGUUCCUGAAGGAAAAUUAUAAGCAAUAGUUUAAAAUCUAUAAAAUUUUGUUAGCACUUUUAGUUUUCCAAUAUGUCGUACUGCUUUACUUUUAUUUCUGCUGUGUUUAAGAUUUUCCAGGUAAACUCACUGUGUAUGAAAUACAUGAAAAGUCCAUUGAAAUCUAAGACAAAUGAUAACCGUGAUUGCCGCGAUAUUCUGCCGUGGUAUACCUUCCAGAUUUUUAGCAGUGACCAAAUUUUUUUCAGUGUACCAUCAUAUAGGCUUUAAUGCAAACAGAAACAGAUUUUUUUUUUUGUAUUUCAUAUUGAUUUUAAAAAGUUUUAAAAAACCUUUAUAGAAAGUCUCCAGUAUAACAGCCCACCUCCUGAAUCCAGCAUACCUAAUGCAAUUUUCAUAUACAGUGCAAAAACAUCAGCAUCAGCUUCUCUGGUGCAUAAAUGACCAAACAUUGGUUCAGGGAUACAAUAUUUUAGCUUCCUCCCACAGCUAAUCAUAGACUUAGUCAGCUCCUUUAUUCUUGUAAAAUACACCCCCCUACUCCCAUCCCAAAGGCUAGGGGGCCACAUUGUCUCUGAAUAAUCAAGAGAUCCUUUUUUAUUCUUUAUUAUGUUGCCAUAACAGAUGCUGUCAGAUCUGAACGAUUGCUAACAAAGUGAUUUUUGUUUGCCUUUUCUUCAUCUUUCGCUCAAUCCGGACCCUCUCCGAGCACAAUGAAUGGGUGGCACUUUUCCAGGUCACCCCCGGCAAAGAUGGAGAAAGGGGGAACAGCCAAACCUUCAGCGCGGAGACAGUUACGGUUCCUUUAAAGACAAGCUUGACAGCUAACAAGGCAGCCGACAUUCUUCAAACGUGAUCUCGCAAACUUCUCCGACUACGGUGCGGGGUGCGAGGUCGCGACCCAAAAAAUUAGCCUCCUGGGGGAUUUUCACAUCAUAAAAAGAAUAGGAUAACAAAAUGCCCAGCGCUUGCGUUCUGCCACUCGCCUCCUUGUCUCUUUUAAACGUCCCUUCGAUCACUGUGCGCUGCCUUUCACUGAAUAACGAACACUUUGAUCAAAGGCUAGCUCAAUCUCUUCUCUCUCUCCCUCUGUCUCUCGCUCACUCUUUUAGAUAAAGAAUGGCGGUAUAGCCCUUCUUUCUAUAACGAGCACUAUGCACAUUGCCCAUUAAGAAUGACCCCCUCCCGCUCCCUGUCCCCUCACUGUAACCUCAUGACAGGUGGUCCGUAUGCCAGUACGCAAUAUGUCACAUUCAAGACCCUGCUCCCAGAUGCACAUCCACCACAACCUGCAACCCUGCACUGAAAGCUCGUUCGGCUACUGCUUAGCAACGAACGGGCCGUGAAUGCUAACUAGCUCCGCGGCAGCUGUGCCAACCGUCAAGACCUAUUGGAUGGCUCUUCUGUGCAAAUCAAAUCAAUCCCGUAACAGCCAGCUCUCAUGGGGCCUCUCAGCGAUGGCGCGUAUACCGUGCAGGAAUCCUGGAGCCGUAGAAGUUCAAUUUCCCUAACACAGGGGGCCUUCGAAAGAAUUGCAGCGGACCAUAUCAACUGCACACGUCGUGCAGUUUAUGGCUAUCUCCUUUCUUUGGCUAUGUAAUGCGAUGUAAAUGUCAUUUAUAGUCAAUGUGUACAGCCAUCAUUAUUGUAGCACGAUUUUCCACGCAACGCAAGAUUAAUGUCAUAGGUUUUGGGGCAUAUAACAGGCAUGUGGGGGGAUAAAAUGUCACAAACACGCAUUUCAUUCCUUGGGCCUCUUUUUUCUCUCGUUUUUUGAAGGCCUGAUACAACACGCUGAAAUAUUGCGGUUUCAGACGUGAAAGCUGUCUUGACAGAGCAAAGGCAGCGCAACACACAUGGUGGAAACAAGACCCAAGCAUGACCACCAGCCGUAGGGCCCCUGCAAUCAGAGACGAGGGGGUGAGCCCCUUUUUUUCCUGCAAGUUGAGCACAAAACAUCCUCUUGCAGUUAUGUUGUUGACAUCUGGAACACACCUGCUGGCCCAGAAGCGGUUGGAUGGUUACAGAGCCAUUUGUAAUAAGUAGUGUACUUUGCAGUGGGGGAACAUGGGAAAAUAGAGUCUCACUGACUCGCUAACUUGGGUCCCUAAGAUAAUUAUUCGUAAUUUAAGACCAAAAGCAUCAGUGUGUAUAUCUGCAGGGCCUAUAUCCCGAGAGUCCAGAAAUAGCCAAACGCAAAAACUAAUGCUGCUUAUUAGAAGACCAUGGAACCAACAAUGUACUGUUGAAGUAUUAAGCAGAAUGGGAAAAAGAGAAAAAGACAAAGGAGUGUUUUGAAAGAGGCUGAUUUAGUAAAAACGAUCAUACCACUACCUGGUAAGUAACUCCUGCAUAUUGCAUACGUACUGUGAGCUCCCAUCCAGUAGGUGGUGCUGGUACUCUGUGUCUUUUCUUUUUAUUCUUUUAGAGAACCAAAACAAACGUGGUGAUUGGAUGUGCAAUAUAUGCAUAGAUCUAUAUAGUGUCUCUUCAUACAUAUGAAAUAUAUUUAUAAUACACUGUGCACAGAGAAAAUUGGGAAUCUUCAUACAUUGUGGGAGGAGACGUGGUGUUGGGGAAGUUCCUCGGAGCUUCUGAGAAAGUAACUUAUCUGCCGAAUCCUGGUGAGGCUGAGAAGCGGGUAUGAGUCACCGUAAGCUCCCCCGGUCAGCCUAUAGAUGGAUGGCCUCAGUCGGGCAUCGAGGAAAAACCACCAGAGAGAAUAAACAAAACAAACUUGAUGCCCCCAGUACCAACACUGCCAGGAGCUGCAGCAAGAAACGAAAAAGAAAAUCUCACUGGCAAAGGAAAGACCUUGUUUUUGCCAUAGCUGAGUAAAGUAUAACACUCAUUGCGCAAACCAAUGAGAUGAAAAGCACAACUCAUAGAUGGCUGCCAUCACUGGAGCUGAUCCAGUGGAUUCCUCCUUGCUCCAGUUGCUCAACUCCCAGUUUAAUGUCUUCCCCAGGACCAGUUCAGUGGGUUCUCUUGGGCCAAGGAGAACUGUAUAGCUAAAACACAUCCAUAUGUGUUCUGCUCAUAAUAAACAUCGUCAUUGUGAAUUUAA